CGCGUAUGCGCAGUAGUCACAGAUUUCUUCUCCCUCCUGCUGGAAUAAUGAGUCGGGGAAAAAUAUUGAGCCUGAGCUGGGACGUUGCUAGCGAAGCAGAGAUUUCAGUCCCCAGGUACACAGCUGUACACUCUUCAUUGUGGGUCCCUCCAGCUGCGGCACGUGGGACGCCGCCUCAGCGUGGCCCGACGAGCAGCGCCCUGUCCGCGCCCAGGAUCCGAACCAACGGAACACUGGGCCGCCUGCAGCAGAGCGCGCAAACCCAAUCACUCAGCCACGGGGCCAGCCGCCUGAAUCCAUUACUUUUUAAGCCAACUACACUGUUGCUUGGAACAGAGACAAGAUCCCAG
Molecule: long non-coding RNA, 350 nt
Filed under: Equus caballus (horse)
Lineage: Eukaryota; Metazoa; Chordata; Mammalia; Perissodactyla; Equidae
Description: lncRNA (ENSECAG00000039857.3)
Source: RNAcentral